Gasterosteus aculeatus aculeatus (three-spined stickleback) is the source of this 2650-nucleotide non-coding RNA. NCBI's taxonomy places the organism in Eukaryota, Metazoa, Chordata, Actinopteri, Perciformes, Gasterosteidae. The record is from RefSeq and is a predicted model, not a curated record.
AUUCCAAUUAAAACAGCUUGGCUGUAGUGGGCCAAGAAGGGAGGGGGAAAACGGGCUCUGGGACAGGACCGUAACUGGCGCCACUGCUCCGCACACACCAAACAAUAUGAAUCAAAACCAUAAGCAUGAAACUAAGAACAAUGCGUAAAACAAGAGAAAAUACUGUCAAACGCACAACUGAAAAAUGCAAGGAGCAAGUGAGAGGCCCAGUCACCAGCCCCACCACUGUCCGGUAGCCACGUUGCUGCCACCCCCAAGGACUCCUGAACAGAAACAAAGACCCAGAUUUAGUAAAUACAGUUUUGUGCAAAAUAACCUUUUGGAGCAGGAGUUUAACUAUUCAAUUGGUUCUGUCUGUGUCGCAAUCUGUGAGACAAACCGUGUUAGAAAACCAAUUGGUGAUACAGAGCCACAUUCUUGUGCCUGAAGGAAAGAGGUUUACUAUGGGACCCACUCAAAUGUAGCGGAACCAGUGUAAUAUACACUCCACCAAAAGAAUAGUAAUUAAUGUCAAUAUAUUUCAAUUUUAAAGUAUUUGCUGCAAAUUCUGCAUUCUGCAAAUGUGCACCUUUCCCUUUCUGAGAGACAUCAGUUUCAGAUUGCAAGUGCAAGUGCACAUCAUUUACACCCAUGUAGCUUUACCCGACCUCCAUUGGAAGUGACAAAUGUUUCCACUGUUUAAAUGUAUGUUCUUAACAAAGAGAUCUCAAAUACUGUAAAACAAAAGUCUUCAACUAUGGCCACUGGCGAGCUUGGCCAAAAGUGGGAUAUAUAAUGGAGUAAACUACAAGUGUGGGAUGAUUUUGAUCCAUGGCUUAUUGGGUUGCACUGCGAGAGUUUGCCGAAAUGAUCUAAAUGGUAAUACUGCAAGACAAGUUCAUCUUUGUUGUCAAGAAGCUCAGCCUGUAAGAUUAUAGAUGAAUGAUUUAAGUAAUGAAUAAUCUUUUUGGAAAUGUGUAGCCAGUGAGGAAAUGUCCCUCCUAAGCUACUGUAGGUUCAGGAAGGCCUUGGUACCGCCUACUUCCUGGUUUACCCAUUAGACAGGGUAUAAAAGCUGCACAUGAUGAAGCUGCAUCAGUGUGAUUGUCCCUUUCUUUGUUGGAGUUUGGCUUGAGAAUCCAGUAAGUGGGUAAGUGUUUCUAUUCUCCCUCCAGUCCAGGCUGUUAUGGGAAGCCACUGCAGUUUUGCUUUAUACUGUUUUGUCUUUCUUUAUUUGAGUAGUAUUUGUUUGGUUACCUUAGAAUCCGGAAAAUUACUUUUUGUUAAAUUUUGUUCUUUUUAGGUGUUGAGGCUCAACCGCAUGGCUGCCCAGAUGGUGGUGAGUCUGGUGACUGGGCCCCUCACCUGCUCUCCAUAUUCUCAGUAGUUUUGGUAUUUUUUUUUUUUUCAGUAAUGGUGAAUUUUGAUGGGUUUGUGUGUGGCCUCUAAGCCGGUGAGGGCCCUGUCCCCCGCUGCAGCCUAGUCACCAGUAACACAAUUUGUUUUGAAGCCCAUUUUGUUGUUGUUUUAAUUCCUAGAGACACCUGUUGGGUCACCUGUUGAUCCGUGCUUGUUUAAUAAUGAAUUGUAUGAGGAAAUAAAUCACCCUGUGCUACCGGGGGUUACAAAUGUCUUUGCUACAAUUAAACAACUCUUCUCAUGAUUUAAUAUGCACACUAUGCCUUAGCUAAAACUAAUGCAUUCAAAUGCAACAGUUCAACUAUUUCUCCCUCAUUCUUCCAUUUUGGUGAAGUAGACCGACCAAAUAGAAAUUGGCCAGUGGUACUCCUAGAGGCUAUUUCCACAUAGUUGAACUUUACUAAUUGCUUGUGGUCUCUUCUCAGACUGCUAUGGCUGGUUCGACACCUGCAGAAUCAAGGUGAUUUUGGGAGCGCAGCAUGGGAAAACUGACUCUUCCAAAGUCACUAGAUUAUCGUCACAGCAAGAUGAGGACAAACCAGGUUAAAGGAGAAUCUGACUGCGAUACAUGGAUGAAGUUGGCCAAUUUCUUUUAAUCUCAAUUCUACCACUGAAUUUGAGGACUAUUAAGCUGCCAAACUGUUUGUUCAAUAUGUGUUUGAAAAGAAACCUGGUGGUGCCAUAGAGUACAAACAAAAGCCGCACAGAGAACUCAAGGCCCAUAUCCACCCCGGACAGUCGAAGCGCACCCAGACUGCAGGGGGCGACGAUGCGGCUAAUGGAGAUUCCACCCACAGGAAGUGCCUGCGUACGAACAGGAAGCGCAUGGCAUAAAAUGUUUGUGCAGAGCUCCGAUGGCCCUCUCACUCGGCCCUGAGGAAAAGGACACUGUGGCCACGGGCUCUAAUCUCCCAGAGACGCAACUGGACACCACUGCAAUUGCUGAUUAUGGACUGUCUACUUUAAAUGACCGCACAGUCCAGAUCAAAGGAGGCUUAUGGGGAGCAGAUGGGCGGGGCCUGAGCUCUUCAUGCAGGUAUUGUUUUUGUAAUGCUUGUCGUGGCUCUGCUAAAAUGUCUAAUUGUAUUCCAUGCCAGAGUUUCUGUUCUUCCAAUAUGUAGCGGUCUGUCUUGCAGAACUAUUUGGACCCUUAAUUUGCUGUUUGCCAAUAGUUCAAGAAUGUGUUUGUAUUUCUAAAUGUUAUCGUGUGUGCAAGGAGAUGCCAACUUGUCAAUUUUUUUUUUUUUUCCUG